Molecule: non-coding RNA, 115 nt
Organism: Gossypium arboreum
Lineage: Eukaryota; Viridiplantae; Streptophyta; Magnoliopsida; Malvales; Malvaceae
Source: Rfam
UGUUCAAAGUUUUAUUUAUUUUUACUGUUAAAACUGGUGUAGUUGACAACAUAAUCAUACAUUUACAUGUGAAGGGACCAGUUUUUAACAGUAAGAAUAGAUGAUAUUUUUAAUA